Molecule: ribosomal RNA, 481 nt
Filed under: uncultured bacterium
Lineage: Bacteria
Description: partial 16S ribosomal RNA
Rfam family: Bacterial small subunit ribosomal RNA
Source: RNAcentral
GACGAACGCUGGCGGCGUGCUUAACACAUGCAAGUCGAGCGGUAAGGCCCUUUCGGGGGUACACGAGCGGCGAACGGGUGAGUAACACGUGAGCAAUCUGCCCUUCACUUUGGGAUAGCCACCGGAAACGGUGGCUAAUACCGAAUAUGAUCACCGGCCGCACGGUCUGGGGGUGGAAAGUUCCGGCGGUGGAGGAUGAGCUCGCGGCCUAUCAGCUUGUUGGUGGGGUACUGGCCUACCAAGGCGACGACGGGUAGCCGGCCUGGGAGGGUGACCGGCCACACUGGGACUGAGACACGGCCCAGACUCCUACGGGAGGCAGCAGUGGGGAAUAUUGGACAAUGGGCGAAAGCCUGAUCCAGCAACGCCGCGUGAGGGAUGACGGCCUUCGGGUUGUAAACCUCUUUCAGUACCGACGAAGCGCAAGUGACGGUAGGUACAGAAGAAGCACCGGCCAACUACGUGCCAGCAGCCGCAGUAA